Molecule: long non-coding RNA, 448 nt
Filed under: Rosa chinensis
Lineage: Eukaryota; Viridiplantae; Streptophyta; Magnoliopsida; Rosales; Rosaceae
Description: sRNA RchiOBHm_Chr5g0048771
Source: RNAcentral
UGAGCUGAUAUAGUAUAGGAUUUUGGAAAGGGAUUAAAAGACACAAAUGUAAUCUGUAAAGAAUGUAUUAAAUGAUAAUUCAUUAAGUUCUCAGUUCUAACAGGUUGAUCAAAAUGAUUGGUGUAAUGCUAUUUGAUAUAAAUCAAGAAAUCAAGCACAGACUAGGCUCUUCUUUAUAUUUUUUCUCUGUUCAUGUUUUAAUGCUUAUCAAUGGUUUGUAUUCUUUGUGUUUCUGUUCAAUCUUCUUAGGCUCUUCUUAGCUUUUAGUAUUUCUAUUUCCCCAGUUUGUAUGCAUUUUCUGUUUCUUUGUAUUCAGUGUGUAUAAGAUCUGGGAGUUUUGUACUGGAGCUUGGUUUUUGAGCUUCAAAGUUCUUUUUGUGUUAUGGAGAGCUUUUGUUUAUAUUGUGUUCUUUUGUGGACUGUUUAUAGCUGUAAAUAUUCUAGAUAA